GAUGAACGCUGGCGGCGUGCCUAAUACAUGCAAGUCGAGCGAAGCGGGGACGGGUGAGUAACACGUGGAUAACCUCCUAUAAGACUGGGUUACCUUCGGGAAACCGGACCUAAACCGGAUACUGCUAGAAGGGUCCUGGCUGCAUUAGCUGGUUGGUAAGGUAACGGCUUACCAAGGCAACGAUGCAUAGCCGACCUGAGAGGGGGAGCGGCCACACUGGAACUGAGACACGGUCCAGACUCCUACGGGAGGCAGCAGUAGGGAAUCGUGCGCAAUGGGCGAAAGCCUGACGGAGCAACGCCGCGUGAGUGAUGAAGGUCUUCGGAUCGUAAAACUCUGUUAGUAGGGAAGCGUUACCUAAUCAGAAAGCCACGGCUAACUAUGUGCCAGCAGCCGCGGUAAUAC
Molecule: ribosomal RNA, 405 nt
Filed under: uncultured bacterium
Lineage: Bacteria
Description: partial 16S ribosomal RNA
Rfam family: Bacterial small subunit ribosomal RNA
Source: RNAcentral